ACCUCUUCUGCUCCGUUUCCCUUUCUCGCGUACACGAAAUCUGCGUAUUCUCCUGCACGAUGAUCUUACCACAUGCAGACGGUCAGAGAAUGUGUCGUGUGAGCCAUGCACGUACCACUACCGUCGAGGGACGGCAUAGCUCUGCUCGACGGUGGAACGCCGGUCCAUGUGACGAGUCGUCGACUGCCGAUGCACGCUCGCUCGCCUAGAAAAUUCGUGUGAAUAUAUAAGUACGCCUACGACAGUUCACUCGCCUUUCUUUUUCAGGGCAAGGACGGGCUCCUUUUGUAAAUUGUAGGUGGAUGGCAUCUUGCUCGGGAUGUGAUGGAUUUUGAUCGCGACGGGGUGGACAAGUUUUCUAAGCUCGGACAGUCAGACGUGCUCGAAAAGGACUUGCUACUAAUUUGAUUUGAUUUCAAGACUAGAGAGGAGGGUUUCUUACUGUGUGCAUUGUUGUGGUGCGUGUAGCCUUUUCCUUUCCCUAGAACGAGACGAGGAGAAGAGACUACUAGUAGUACUGCCUCACGUACUGGUGCUACGACAGGGUUACUAUCAUUUUGGUAUUAUUAUACAGCAAUCAUGGAAGCUCUCGGAGACCGAGAAUUAGAAAAGUACGAGAUCGGACGUGGUCCGUACCUGUAUAAUUUUUUAUAUCACGCAUGUUUCCUACGGUACGGUUCCAUGUGCCCAGGUUCUAAAGUAUAUCGUUUGCAGCAUUCAUGCCAUUUAAGUUAAUCACAUCGCUUCUUUGCAAAAAUAAAAAUCAAAAUCAAAUGCGGAGUAAUAUACCAG
This 792-nucleotide long non-coding RNA is filed under the name Hordeum vulgare. RNAcentral's name for it is "long non-coding RNA (HVUL_LNC018463)". Lineage: Eukaryota; Viridiplantae; Streptophyta; Magnoliopsida; Poales; Poaceae. The record is from RNAcentral.